Molecule: long non-coding RNA, 2435 nt
Filed under: Mus musculus (house mouse)
Lineage: Eukaryota; Metazoa; Chordata; Mammalia; Rodentia; Muridae
Description: predicted gene, 52182
Source: RNAcentral
CUCUUACUUAGGUAGAAGGAGUGCAGAGUCUCAGCCAAGUUCUUUCUUGAUCCCUGAGUGAGGGGAGGCCUCAGGUCUUCCACACCCCCAGCCUUUCACCCCAGGUCUUCUGGGGGACAAGCAGGCCCAACCUGAAGCCUGGCUUGGUUGUUCCUCUGCUUUGGCAUGGAGGGACCAACCCCCACCUGUCAAGCUGUAAACCCCUAGGGAGGUGACCCCAGUGGAUGUUCCUGAAAGUGGGAGGGAGUGUGAAAACACCCCCAGUCUUUUCUGUGGAGCCCUCUGAGGUAAGGAACCAGAGCUGAUUGCCUGCUUGGUGGGGGAGGGUGGCUCUCUACAGGCAGGGAUGCAGUCCUGCUGAGCAUUCCCUCUGGGCCUUGUGGCAGGUCUCACUGUGGUGACUCAGCUUUGUCUGGAAUGGCUCAGGAGGGCCUGGGGAAAAAAAAAAAAUGGGUAUCCCUGACUAGGCCACAGCAGCCCAAGUGAGAAGGGACAGGACACUGGUGGAGUGCAGUGGCCUGUCAUUAUCUUCUGCACCCCCUCAGGGAGCCAGGUGCUGGUGUUUCUCCAUGCCUGCUUUCCAAAUCAGACAGCUUAGGUGGGGAGUCACCUGACCAGGGAGAGUGCCCCUGAGUGGGGUCCCAGGGCAUUCCAAAAACAAACAAACAAACAAACAAACAAAGAAGCCCAGCCCUUGCAGCAUCUUGGGUACCCUCUUAUCGUCACUAAUAAAUGGGGGUCCAGUUCUACCUCAGCACUGGCCUGAGAUCAAGGCAAGUCUGCAGAAAGUAGCAGUGCGGAGGAGGGCCCAACACCACGUGAGCAGAGAACUUAGUGACAGGGAGUAAGUAACCCUCUGUAAGGAGGUGCCACUGACAGAUGAGCCUCGACCAAUGAUGUAGUAAUAUCUGAUAAUCAGACUGAAGUAGAGAAAUCACUUAAUACUCCACCUACCAAACCGGUCACUACAGCUGCUUGCCCUGGGGCUGACGGCCAGUUAUAACCUCACGGUAUUGCCCAGGACCAUCAACAAUGUAACACUAGCACAAGGCUGGCUCCUCCUCUUUUACUGUCCCACAGGGCUAAGGAUUGAGGCGCCUCCCAACCGCCAGCAUGCUAUAGUGAGCUGCAGUACAGCCCUACGUAUAGGCUUAACCAGGAAAUAUCUGGCCCAUACACAGUGUGGAACUAGAUCAAAGAGGGUAAGCCUACCCCAUUGAGAGGCACCGGGGAAUCCUAGCUUUUGGACUCUCCCAGUCACCUGAAGGCUUAGUGGGUCUCAGAUAGGAGGUGGUGUCCUGUGAAAAACCAAGCUCUUGCUUCGCAAAAGACCCUCCGCCCAGCCUAGCAGCUGCUGUCUUCAUCACCCAAACCCUGUUCUCCGACGGAAGAAGCCGGGCACCCCGUGGAAGCCUAGCUCAGGUGAAGGAUGGAGCCAUUCUCUCAAAAGAUGGGGGAGACCUUCUAAACCCUCUCUUAGCGUCGUCUCCAUGUCUCAGGGCCUCCAUUCUCUUUAGUGUACAAAGGGAGACCUGCUACUCACGCCGUGGGAAACAACUCCACAGAGUUCUACGGACUAAGCAGAGCUGCACAGAGCUGACUGAAAUGAUGCCGGUGUAGCUUGAAUCUAACAGGAGCUCCUGCAUCCGCCGGAGCCUCAGUUUCCUCAUCCGUAAGUGGAGUCGCGAGUUCUACUCUUAAUAUAUCAACCGAGGCGUUGGGAUGCUGCGAGCCAAGCGCAUGCCGGUUUGCAGGUCCCUGCGCAUCCUCGGCGGGCCCAUAACCCUGCAGGAUGGCGGCACAGGCGCAUCUCUCGGCCUGUACCCUUCUGACUCCCAGGUACAUCCUGCUCCUGAACUUAUAAGUGGCUCCCCUUCAGAGCUGCUGAGCUGUGCUCCCCACUCGACCGCAUAGCCUGCCCGCAGCCCGUGCCAUCUCGUACCUCGUGCUCCAGCUUGUGCAGAAGGCGGCCCCAUAGUCGCUCUGGGACUCCCGAGGCGCGCAGCGUAGGGCCGUGCAGCGACACGAACUCGUCCAGCAGCCGCGCGUUCAGCCUCUCGGCGCGGCCGGGACUGCCAGGCUGCGGCCCGGACUGGAUCUCCAUAGUGCUCGGAAGAGCACGGCGCCGCCCACCGCAGGAUUUAAGCGGACGGCGCGCACGCGCCUGCGUCCUGGGUUGCGAGGUUCCAAGAGUGCGCACGCGCGCUGGGGGCGUGUCUUCUCCAUUCAUCCCAGGACUGCCGCGAGGGAUUCUGGGAACGCUGCUUAGAAGCCCCAGAGAGUCAGAAUCAGGAGAGAUUGUCCUCAAGGAGCCGGUGAAGCUGAGAUGGGGAGGGGGUCGGGAAGAGGCAGAAGGUGCUCCCCCUUGCGCUGGUUGCAAUCUUGUUUCGCCUGAAUUUUUUUUUUAAUUUUAGUUUAAAAUUUUUAUUUUUUUA